UCCUGGUUAGCUCAGUGGGUAGAGCGCUCCACUGGAAAUGGAGGGGCCCCCGGUUCGAUAUCAGGAUCAGGCG
Ixodes scapularis (black-legged tick) is the source of this 73-nucleotide non-coding RNA. The record is from Rfam. NCBI's taxonomy places the organism in Eukaryota, Metazoa, Arthropoda, Arachnida, Ixodida, Ixodidae.